CCAGAAGUAGCAUGCUCCAUGAUUCAUGCUACAUGCUACUAAACCCCACUAAGGCACCAAAUUAGCCUUCUAUUCUUUAGGCGGUCUGCUUCAUGCUGAUUUUCCAUACCAUAAAUUACGUUUUCUCUUCCUCCUUUUAAUGGAAUAAUCAUUCUGCCCUUAUUCUACACUUUAACAGUGUUUCAUUAGUUUGUUUAACUUAGUAUUUAUUUGUUGGAAUCACCAAUUCCUUUUUGUUAAGGGAAUUUCUGAAUUCUUCCACAAAAGUUUUUGAAUAUCUAUAUUGAAUAAAGUCGGGAGAAAAAACUCUCAUUGAUGUUCAAUAUCGAUCUUUAUUGAAAAUUCAGUCAUCUAUCAGACCACAUUUUGAAAACUUACUUUCGAGAGAGCUAGAAAUUCCCUCAAACACUUUUCUAUUCCUUAAACGGCUGUGAUAGUCAUCUCAAUUCCACCCACAGCAGUAACACACCAAAAACAUGACCAUGUCUACGUCUUUCGACCAACCUUUGAGGUCAUCCGCCUCUGCAAAUAAAACGGUGAUUAGUUCGCCGGUGACAAAAAUCAACAAAAAUAAGAAUUCGUAAAACACAACAGUAGACAGAAGAAUCCCAAAAUUCCCUCUAGUUUUUGGUUAGAGGGACUAAAGAUGGGGAACAACAAACUAAAGAUAUCAAUAGGUGAAUAUUCAAAGAGAGAAAGAGAGGAUGAGCGUCAGAAGGAUGGACGAAGAGAGAAAGUGAGGUGAGAAACUUUUUUGCUUGGAUUAGGUUAAAGUUAAAAUACUAUUUAAUAAAUUAUUAAACAUAAAAUAAAAUGUUUUAAAAAUCAAUUUUGCUAAAAUAUUUUACUUUUUUUUUCUUACUUUUAAUAUGUUAAAAUAUUUUAUACGUAAUGGUGUGUUUAAUAAAUCAUUGAAAAUUUUUGUUUUAUUGAGAAUGAAUUUUCAACCUUUAAUAUUUUAGUUUUAGAUGUGUUUAAUAAUUAUUUUAAUUUUUUACUUAAUAUAAAAUUUCAAAAAAAUAUUGAAAUAAAUAUUUAUUUUAUUUUAUUUUAUUUUAUUCAAAAUUUAAAAUAAAUUAUCUUCUUUUUGUUGAAAAUGAGACAUUUAAAUUAUCGUAUUUAUUUUCAUCAAAAACUAUCUAAAAUAAUAUAAAAUAUUAUAUUAAUAAGAUUAAAAUUAAAAAUAAAUAUUUUUUUAAAAAAAUUAAUUUUUAUUAAAUGGAAGCUUAGUCUGUGAUUCAUAAGGUCGUAUGAGAUCAUCGAGAGAAUUGGGCCAGUAGCUUACCGUUUAGCUUUACCGUAUGAAUUAGAGAAAAUUCACAACGUGUUUCAUGUAUCAAUGUUACGGAGAUAUCGAUCUGACCCUUCACACAUAAUUUCGCCUGUUGAUGUAGAAAUUCUGGUAGAUAUGUCCUAUAGUGAAGAACCAAUUAGAAUUGUAGCUCGAGAAGUCAAAUAAUAAACGAAUAGCUCUGGUUAAAGUUUUCUAGCAUCGUCAUGGGGUCGAGGAAACUACCUGGGAACGAGAAGAAGCUAUGAAAGUGCAAUACCUAAACCUAUUUUCUGGUAAGAUUUUCAGGGACGAAAAUUCCUUUAGGGGGAGAGUUGUAAUGACCCAUUUAUAGUGGUGUUAAAAGCAAUGGUCUCGGGACCACGAUUUCGACAAGAGAGUAAAUAUUUUAUUAAUUAUUUAAAGCUUACGAGUGUUUAUUAAGGUAUUAUUAAAUUUUUGUUAAGAAAUUUUGAAGUUUAAACUAUUAAUUAGGUAAAAAAGAACUAAAUUGAAAAAGGUGCAAAAGUCUUCUUCUGUUAGUUAAGUGGAUUAAAUAGCUUUAACAAGGUGAGUUAAUGGACUUAUUUAGUAAUUAUGUUGUAUAUGUUUAUAGUGGACAAAUAUGGACAUGUUUAUGCUAGUAUUUAAGUUAUAUUAUCAGGGCAAAAGAGUAAUUAAUCAAAUAAUCAUGAAAUAAAUAAAACAAAAGCUGUCAUGUUCUUUCUCUUUUUCUUGUUUAACUAUAAACACCAUUGAAGGGGGGAGAAAAGCUUCAUUUUUCUUAAUUCACUUGCAUGGUAUGUAUUCAAGUCCCGUUUUUAGUAAUUUUUAUAUUUUUGAGCUUUUUUUAGCUUAAACUACUUAGCUCGAGGAUUAAUUUGCAAAGCUGUUAAAGGUUAAAGGAAAUGUUAGGAAUGAAAUUGAUGAAUUUGUGAUGUUAAUUGAUAGGUUAUUACAUUUGGUUGUUAAAUAAAUUUAUUUUGUUAAGUGAUUUUUUUAUAAAUUUAGUGUUAAAGAUUAAUUUGCUAAAAGUGUAAAAUUCCUUGAAAUUAUUUUGGGUAAAUAUGGGCUGAUUAGGUACUCUAGAAGAAUCAGUUAACACAUGUUGUCUAUGAAAAUAGUGAAUUUGCAAGUUAUGGUUAUAAUGACUAAGUUGUAAAAAAAUUAAAAUAGGAGGGGUAAUUUUGUAAUCUCAUGAUAAUAUGAAUUAUAGAUUGAAUUGAAUAUUUGAGGUUAUUUGAAGUACUUAAUUGAAUGAAGGUAUCUAUUUAGAUCAAAAGAAACCACAACUGGAUUUAAAUCGAGAAAACGCAAAAGCUUUGGAUUAGUCUCCAACUCUACCUUUGCGACUAUAGUUACCAACGCAAGUUCGUAUGAAUAUAAUUUUAUUAAUGAUAUUUUAAUUGAUUAUUUGUUAUAUUAUAUUAGUUAUAAAUUGACUUGAAUAUAUAAAUAUAUUGACAUUUUGAAUAAUUGACGGAUAAAUAAUCCCGUUUGAACCUUAAGAAUUCGUAGGAUUUGAAUGACAUGUCAUUAAGAAUUUCAUGUUUCGGGUACUGGUCUUGAAUGUACUACCAAUGACUAAGGUCCUGCAUUUGUUGUGAAUUCUCCACAGCUCGUGUGAGCAGUAUCAUGUAGCUAAAAUUCUGACCCACAGCUGGUGUGAGCAGGCCCAUUUCACUGCUCGUGUGAGCACUAUUGAAAAUGAAAUGUUACGAUUAUAUGGAAAGGCACACUAUAUGUGAGCAUUCCCGAGUAUCCAAUAAAUUUCUAGAUGGUUCACAGGUAAGUAAAGGUUAAUGGCAAGGCAUGUAUUCAAAUGGAUAAUUAUUCAUAAUCUUAUAAAAGGUAAAUUUGAUGAAUGGUAUGUACAUGGAAAUUUACUUAUGAUAUGGUUGAACUUAUAUGUAUUAUGUAUUAACUUGCUAACUUGUGAGUUUGGUGGUGUAUAUAGGAGUUUAUUUAGCUUAUGAUCAUGGUAAUGAUGUUAUUCAUAUUUUAUAUAUUGAGCUUAAGAAGGGUAAGUUAUAUUUGAAUUUAUACGAGCUUACUAAGCACUAGUUGCUUACGUAGUUAUUUUCCUUUGUUUCGUAGAUUAUCGGAAGCUUGAUCGGCUGGAAGCUUGUCAGAGUUCUAUCAACACUAUCCAGUAAUCUCUUUGGUAGUUCUUGAGUUAUUUUGGCCAAGGUUAUAAAUGGUAUAUUGGUUAGGAGAAAUAGGUUGAUUGAAUUGGUAGAUUUAUAUGUGUUUGAAGUGUGUUUAGGUUUAUUGAAGGUAUGUACUAAUGAAGUAGAUUUUUGGGCAAGUUGUGGGCUUUAAAUGGCUUGUUUUUGGGGGUUUGGGUGCCGAUUUUGGAGGAAGAAUUAAGAGAAAAAAAUUAAAAUUUGGGAGAAGAAUGGAAGGGGUGAGGGCGGCACAAAAAGAAGAUUGAGUAGAGGGAAUGAUUGUUGAUGAAAUAAGUGUGAAAAAGGGGUGUAUUUAUAGGGAUGGUGGGGGUUUAAGAGAUAGCAACAAAAAUUUAAAAGACUUUUUCAAAAUUAAUUACUAAAAGAUAAUCAAAAUUAAAAAUAUUAAAAUAAUUUAUAUUUAUCAAUUAAAUAAAUAAAAUUAAUUCGACUCAAUAAUUAUCUCUAGCAAGAAAAUCCAAUUAAAAAGAUAUAAUUAAUUGAUAAUUAAAUUAAAUCAUUUGAAUAAAAAGAAAUUUCUUUGUGGUCCAAAAU
Molecule: long non-coding RNA, 3993 nt
Filed under: Gossypium raimondii (Peruvian cotton)
Lineage: Eukaryota; Viridiplantae; Streptophyta; Magnoliopsida; Malvales; Malvaceae
Description: long non-coding RNA (GRAI_LNC005733)
Source: RNAcentral